This 372-nucleotide ribosomal RNA is filed under the name uncultured bacterium. RNAcentral's name for it is "bacterial SSU rRNA". It matches the Rfam family "Bacterial small subunit ribosomal RNA", at positions 527 to 898 of the family's 1533-position model. The record is from RNAcentral.
GAACCGUGCGAACGUUGUUCGGAAUCACUGGGCUUAAAGGGCGCGUAGGCGGGACGGCCAGUCUGUGGUGAAAUCCCCCGGCUCAACCGGGGAAUUGCCGUGGAUACUGCCGUCCUCGAGGAGGGUAGGGGCACCUGGAACGAGCGGUGGAGCGGUGAAAUGCGUUGAUAUCGCUCGGAACUCCGGUGGCGAAGGCGAGGUGCUGGACCCUUUCUGACGCUGAGGCGCGAAAGCCAGGGGAGCAAACGGGAUUAGAUACCCCGGUAGUCCUGGCCCUAAACGAUGAGGACUAGAUAGCGGACCGGACAUGGGUUCGCUGUCGGAGCAAAAGUGUUAAGUCCUCCGCCUGGGGAGUAUGGUCGCAAGGCUGAA